Bactrocera neohumeralis is the source of this 586-nucleotide long non-coding RNA. RefSeq lists it as uncharacterized. NCBI's taxonomy places the organism in Eukaryota, Metazoa, Arthropoda, Insecta, Diptera, Tephritidae. The transcript has 2 exons. The record is from RefSeq and is a predicted model, not a curated record.
CCCGUUUUCAUCACCGCCGUGCCGACUUCAUCAAACGUCAACGCCGGGCACGCUUAGUUUAACCCGUUUUCAUCACCGCCGUGCCGACUUCAUCAAACGUCAACGCCGGGCACGCUUAGUUUCACCCGUUUUCAUCACCGCCGUGCCGACUUCAUCACCACCGUGCCGACUUCAUCAAACGUCAACGCCGGGCACGCUUAGUUUCACCCGUUUUCAUCACCGCCGUGCCGACUUCAUCAAACGUCAACGCCGGGCACGCUUAUUUCACCCGUUUUCAUCACCGCCGUGCCGACUUCAUCAAACGUCAACGCCGGGCACGCUUAGUUUAACCCGUUUUCAUCACCGCCGUGCCGACUUCAUCAAACGUCAACGCCGGGCACGCUUAGUUUCACCCGUUUUCAUCACCGCCGUGCCGACUUCAUCACCACCGUGCCGACUUCAUCAAACGUCAACGCCGGGCACGCUUAGUUUCACCCGUUUUCAUCACCGCCGUGCCGACUUCAUCAAACGUCAACGCCGGGCACGCUUAGUUUCACCCGUUUUCAUCACCGCCGUGCCGACUUCAUCAAGCGUCAACGCCGGGCAC